Molecule: long non-coding RNA, 948 nt
Organism: Asparagus officinalis (garden asparagus)
Lineage: Eukaryota; Viridiplantae; Streptophyta; Magnoliopsida; Asparagales; Asparagaceae
Exons: 4
Source: RefSeq, a predicted model, not a curated record
UAUUUCUCGGAGCAUCAAGCAAAUAGUUGUGUGUAUUUGAUGAACUUAAAAUGCUUCGCUGAGACAAUGUCAAUGCUCGAUCUGAAGUAGUUGCAAUGGAAUGGCUGGUACUAGAAGUUCUCAAUUUCAAGUGCAUGCUGCCCACAACGCACAAUUUCUUGUGGUUCUAUCUAAAAGCAACAAAUAUGGAUGCCGAUGUGGAGGUACUUAGUUGUCCUCUCACUUCUCGACCAUGAAAGAUUUUGCUUCUGGCCCUCUACUGUGGUUUCCGGAUUGGUUAUCCUCGCUUGCCUUGCUACAAGUCGAGAUUCCUCUUGCCUUAAGGUCAUGAAGAGGAUGUUUUGAAUCAUUCACAACCUGAGCUAUAGAGCGUACAAGUUAGAUAGGACAAUUCCUGGUUUCAGUAAAAUGAUGGAGAAAGUGAGAGCUGAUACAACUGCAAAAGAUGCAAGGCACAAGUAGAGGACUGCUGCACAGAAAAAGACUGAGACUGAGGAUGCUCUCUUUGGCCGCAGAAUGUCACCUGAUCCGUAGAAAAGGACAAAAUAUGCAAAUCUUAUUCCAGUAUCAGGUAUGUAGAUGGGCUAUGAGACGCUAAACUUGCAAACUCCUUCAUCUGGACUACCAAAAGAGGAAUCGGGCCUUGCUAUUCAAGUAAGACUAUCCGUAAUGGGAUCAGGGUUUGUGAUUUGAGGUAUAUGGAUACCUUUCAUGAUAAACUCAAGAUUCUGCUGAAAGAUGGAGCUUUAAGGUUUUCAGGUUUUAAAUAUAGCAAUAAAAUGCUUAAGGAGGAGGUUGAGAAGUAUUACAUUGCAAACAUUGUUCAUGUUAUGAAUCAACCCAUUACUCAGUAGAAGAAAAUAUUGGUAGAAGGUGGACAUGCCACCAGAUUGUUCAGAAUUUCUUGUUGAAUGUUCCGCGUGAUUCAAUUGUUCUUCGAUUCCUUCA